CGGCCGCCAACGGCCACUGCAACGGUCCCUACCGGGGAGGGCCGGCUUUUGCCGGCUUCCGGAGAAGGGAGGAAAGAGAGAGGUUUACCUAACACUGUAAAGAGAACGUUCAAUGAAAUACAAAGAAAAAGAUGAUUUUUUUGCUCCAAGAGAAUUAUUCCAGCCUUGGGGUGGAGUGGGUGUGGACAGUGAGCAGAAAAACAAGAAACCAAGUUCUGGGAGGAAAUAAAAUGAAUAUAAUCAGUGGAAAAUUCAGCAACGCAAUAUUGUGUGACAACAGUAAAUGACCAAUUUAUAAUUUAAAUUCUAUGAAAAAGAGAUUUAGAAGAGAGUUCUACCAAACCCACUGUUCCCUAGGGAAUAAAAUGAGUAACGCU
This 377-nucleotide long non-coding RNA is filed under the name Homo sapiens (human). RNAcentral describes it as "LNC_000706". Lineage: Eukaryota; Metazoa; Chordata; Mammalia; Primates; Hominidae. The record is from RNAcentral.